This 216-nucleotide unclassified non-coding RNA is filed under the name rhizosphere metagenome. RNAcentral describes it as "partial ribosomal RNA internal transcribed spacer region". The record is from RNAcentral.
GUAGGUGAACCUGCGGAGGGAUCAUUACAGAGAACAUCGCCCUCACGGGUGACUCUCCAACCCUAUGUUAUUAUACCUUUGUUGCUUUGGCGAGCCGCUUCGGCCACCGACUCCGGUUGGUGCGUGCUCGCCAGAGGACCACAAACUCUUGUUUAUUAGUGUCGUCUGAGUACUAUAUAAUAGUUAAAACUUUCAACAACGGAUCUCUUGGUUCUG